CCUACGGGAGGCAGCAGUGAGGAAUAUUGGUCAAUGGGCGGGAGCCUGAACCAGCCAAGCCGCGUGAGGGAAGAAGGUACAGCGUAUCGUAAACCUCUUUUGUCAGGGAACAAAGGCGGGGACUAGUCCCUGGAUGAGGGUACCUGAUGAAAAAGCAUCGGCUAACUCCGUGCCAGCAGCCGCGGUAAUACGGAGGAUGCGAGCGUUAUCCGGAUUUAUUGGUUUUAAAGGGUCCGCAGGGGGCCUGUUAAGUCAGCGGUAAAAGCCUGGGGCUCAACCCCGACGAGCCGUUGAAACUGGGAGCCUGGAGUUGGGGCGAGGUACGCGGAAUGCGCGGUGUAGCGGUGAAAUGCUUAGAUAUCGCGCAGAACCCCGAUUGCGAAGGCAGCGUACCAGCUCCACACUGACGCUGAGGCACGAAAGCGUGGGUAUCGAACAGGAUUAGAUACCCUGGUAGUC
Molecule: ribosomal RNA, 459 nt
Filed under: uncultured bacterium
Lineage: Bacteria
Description: partial 16S ribosomal RNA
Rfam family: Bacterial small subunit ribosomal RNA
Source: RNAcentral